This 498-nucleotide ribosomal RNA is filed under the name uncultured bacterium. RNAcentral's name for it is "partial 16S ribosomal RNA". It matches the Rfam family "Bacterial small subunit ribosomal RNA", at positions 28 to 507 of the family's 1533-position model. The record is from RNAcentral.
GACGAACGCUGGCGGCGUGCCUAAUACCUGCAAGUCGAGCGGACGGAUGGGAGCUUGCUCCCAGACCGUCAGCGGCGGACGGGUGAGUAACACGUGGGCAACCUGCCUGUAAGACUGGGAUAACUCCGGGAAACCGGGGCUAAUACCGGAUAACUCUUUCCCUCACAUGAGGGAAAGCUGAAAGAUGGCAUCUCGCUAUCACUUACAGAUGGGCCCGCGGCGCAUUAGCUAGUUGGUGAGGUAACGGCUCACCAAGGCGACGAUGCGUAGCCGACCUGAGAGGGUGAUCGGCCACACUGGGACUGAGACACGGCCCAGACUCCUACGGGAGGCAGCAGUAGGGAAUCUUCCGCAAUGGACGAAAGUCUGACGGAGCAACGCCGCGUGAGUGAUGAAGGUUUUCGGAUCGUAAAACUCUGUUGUCAGGGAAGAACAAGUACCGGAGUAACUGCCGGUACCUUGACGGUACCUGACCAGAAAGCCACGGCUAACUACGUG